This 788-nucleotide long non-coding RNA is filed under the name Cucumis sativus (cucumber). Its description in RNAcentral is "long non-coding RNA (CSAT_LNC002180)". The record is from RNAcentral. Lineage: Eukaryota; Viridiplantae; Streptophyta; Magnoliopsida; Cucurbitales; Cucurbitaceae.
GGGGCACCAUUUUGGGAACUGAUCCAAUAUCCAUGAUGCAGCAAACCAAAUCUCACAGAUUACUGAUGUUAACCACAGCCCAUAUGCCUCAUGGACAGGAUGAAGAAUACGAUAGUGGAAAAAGAGGCAAAGGAUGACAAUACGAAGUACGAUUAUCAUUCUGUACGGGUUUAUCUUGCUUGAGGGGAUAGGCAGUUUUCUGGAGAGUGGUUGUCUCCCUUCAUCCAUCCUACAGAACAAUAUUAACAAAAACAUAAGCUAAAGAAGAAACUAGCAGUUUCUAAAUCAAACUAUAUCCAUGACAUAAAGCCUUAUGUCGUAGUUAUAGAUCCUAAUUCUGAACCUGCAUAAUGGCAGUUUCAUAAUGACAAAAAGAAAUUAUGAGGUUAAAGAAGAUAAAUUAGAUUAUUGUCCUCAUGGAAAACUCAAGCAUCUAGUGAAUAUGUUGACAAAGUACACCAAUAAAUGGACAGUUCCAUAUUAAAGACGGUAAAGAAAUCUGCUAAAAUAGAACAAGCAACGACGGCGAUAAAAAAUUACUACCGAGACCAAAAAGAAAUAUACAUCAGCGGAUAAACAAACCAUUUUGAGUAUAAAGAAGGGACAUACAUAGGCAAAUCUGUAUCAUCGAGCUCAUCGUCACCUUUUCCACCACCACCCUCAUGCUUAAUUACUUGAAGUCUUUCAUUUUGCUUCUUCCGCCAGUCUUCCAUUCUUUCCUUCCACGCAACAGUUCCAUACCCAUACACAGCUAAAUCCUUUUUGGGAUCCAUUGGCCUUGGAUUGGC